RNAcentral lists this ribosomal RNA (909 nucleotides) under uncultured bacterium. Its description in RNAcentral is "bacterial SSU rRNA". It matches the Rfam family "Bacterial small subunit ribosomal RNA", at positions 33 to 931 of the family's 1533-position model. The record is from RNAcentral.
ACGCUGGCGGCAUGCUUUACACAUGCAAGUCGGACGGCAGCACAGAGAAGCUUGCUUCUUGGGUGGCGAGUGGCGAACGGGUGAGUAAUAUAUCGGAACGUACCGAGUAAUGGGGGAUAACUAAUCGAAAGAUUAGCUAAUACCGCAUAUUCUCUGAGGAGGAAAGCAGGGGACCUUCGGGCCUUGCGUUAUUCGAGCGGCCGAUAUCUGAUUAGCUAGUUGGUGGGGUAAAGGCCUACCAAGGCGACGAUCAGUAGCGGGUCUGAGAGGAUGAUCCGCCACACUGGGACUGAGACACGGCCCAGACUCCUACGGGAGGCAGCAGUGGGGAAUUUUGGACAAUGGGCGCAAGCCUGAUCCAGCCAUGCCGCGUGUCUGAAGAAGGCCUUCGGGUUGUAAAGGACUUUUGUCAGGGAAGAAAAGGCUGUUGCUAAUAUCGACAGCUGAUGACGGUACCUGAAGAAUAAGCACCGGCUAACUACGUGCCAGCAGCCGCGGUAAUACGUAGGGUGCGAGCGUUAAUCGGAAUUACUGGGCGUAAAGCGAGCGCAGACGGUUACUUAAGCAGGAUGUGAAAUCCCCGGGCUCAACCUGGGAACUGCGUUCUGAACUGGGUGACUAGAGUGUGUCAGAGGGAGGUAGAAUUCCACGUGUAGCAGUGAAAUGCGUAGAGAUGUGGAGGAAUACCGAUGGCGAAGGCAGCCUCCUGGGAUAACACUGACGUUCAUGCUCGAAAGCGUGGGUAGCAAACAGGAUUAGGUACCCUGGUAGUCCACGCCCUAAACGAUGUCAAUUAGCUGUUGGGCAACUUGAUUGCUUAGUAGCGUAGCUAACGCGUGAAAUUGACCGCCUGGGGAGUACGGUCGCAAGAUUAAAACUCAAAGGAAUUGACGGGGACCCGCACAAGCG